UGGGGAAUAUUGCACAAUGGGCGAAAGCCUGAUGCAGCAACGCCGCGUGAGCGAUGAAGGCCUUCGGGUCGUAAAGCUCUGUCCCAAGGGAAGAUAAUGACGGUACCUUGGGAGGAAGCCCCGGCUAACUACGUGCCAGCAGCCGCGGUAAUACGUAGGGGGCAAGCGUUAUCCGGAAUCACUGGGCGUAAAGGGUGCGUAGGCGGUCUUGCAAGCCAGAGGUGAAAGGCUAUGGCUCAACCAUAGUGAGCCUUUGGAACUGCCGGACUUGAGUACAGGAGAGGAAAGUGGAAUUCCUAGUGUAGCGGUGAAAUGCGUAGAUAUUAGGAGGAACACCAGUGGCGAAGGCGACUUUCUGGACUGUUACUGACGCUGAGGCACGAAAGCGUGGGGAGCGAAC
Molecule: ribosomal RNA, 400 nt
Filed under: uncultured bacterium
Lineage: Bacteria
Description: bacterial SSU rRNA
Rfam family: Bacterial small subunit ribosomal RNA
Source: RNAcentral